GUGAGCAGGUGUAAUUGCGCACGAGAGAUUUUGGUUUUCUAGGGUGCCUAUCAAAAGGCGGCUCACUA
RNAcentral lists this transfer RNA (68 nucleotides) under Bankia gouldi. RNAcentral's name for it is "tRNA-Gln". The record is from RNAcentral. Lineage: Eukaryota; Metazoa; Mollusca; Bivalvia; Myida; Teredinidae.